CUGUGGAAUCCCAUGGAAUUUCUCCCACCAGUGCACAAAUUCCUUUGAAAAAGGGGAUGUAGCUAUUGCAGCAGUCGUUAAAAAUGUAUGUACAGCAUUCACAUUAGGCACACUCCAUCUGGAAUUGCAAACUCUGCUUGCACUGGGCAGUGCAGUACUUGCACGUGCAGCUGUAAAUUCAGCCUGAGCCAGUGGCUGAGUUCCAGAACUCCCGGGCCCCUCUCUGUCUCUCAGAUGUGCUGAGUGAUCCCUGGGAAGCUGCUGCUCAUGCCAAGGAACAGCAGCUUCCACCAGUGAGUCAGCGAGUCCAUGGGAGCAGCAGGAAUUCUAUCCCUGCCUGUCCCCUGGGUGUGCUCCUGGAUCCCUGCUCAGUGUGUCCGUGGAGCUGAUGGAGAGCUGUACAGAACAGGACAAUUUAAAUCAAGCAAUCCCUCCCCUUUCUUGGCUUGGAGUUGGCUGUGUCAGUCUUCAGUUUUCAAGGGGGGAAGAAACCCAGCCUGUGGAUUUUGUGCCUUUCUGAACCUUUCUUUGUGUGGUGAUUUCACAUCAGAGCAGAUCCUGCUUCUGCAGAGGGGUGGGAGCAGGAACUGCUGCUGCUGCACAGGAAAUUUGAGUGGGUACCCAGUGAUACACAGCCCUGUGCUGGGCUGGAGUGAGUCUUUUCACAAAUUCCUUGGCAGGGUGCUGCAGUUUGGGGGGUAAAUGAUGUGUGGGGUUAUAAUAUUCUAUUUGAUAUUUAGGCCAGGCUGGAUGGGCUUUGGAGAAACCUGGUCUAGUGGAAGAUGUCCCUGCCCAUGGCAGAGGUUGGAAUUAGAUGCUCUUUGAAGUUCCUUCCAGCCCAAACCAUUCUAUGAUUGAUUUAUUCUAUAAUUUUCCUCUUUGCUGUUCCCUUCCCUUAUUAAGGGAGAUCAAUAUAAACAGUGAAUUUCAGUAAUAAUUCAGAGUUUUGUGGUGGUUCUAUUUUUCUGCCCUGCCCCUGUGCAGCUUCAAGCACUUGGCACAUCAGUGCUGGCCCUCAGGAGGUGCCCUUGGUGACAAAUGAAUGCCCAGAAC
Long non-coding RNA from Vidua chalybeata, 1053 nucleotides. RefSeq lists it as uncharacterized. The transcript has 3 exons. The record is from RefSeq and is a predicted model, not a curated record. Lineage: Eukaryota; Metazoa; Chordata; Aves; Passeriformes; Viduidae.